GACGAACGCUGGCGGCGUGCUUAACACAUGCAAGUCGAACGGAAAGGCCCUGCUUUUGGGGGGUGCUCGAGUGGCGAACGGGUGAGUAACACGUGAGUAACCUGCCCUUGACUUUGGUAUAACUUCAGGAAACUGGGGCUAAUACCGGAUAGGAGCUCCUGCUGCAGGGUGGGGGUUGGAAAGUUUCGGCGGUUGGGGAUGGACUCGCGGCUUAUCAGCUUGUUGGUGGGGUAGUGGCUUACCAAGGCUUUGACGGGUAGCCUGGCUGAGAGGGUGACCGGCAACAUUUGGACUGAGCUACGGCCCGCAUUGCUCCGGGAGGCCGCAGUGCGGAAUAUUGACCAAUGGGCGGACGCCUGAUGCAGCAAAGCCGCCUGCGGGAUGACGGCCUUCGGGUUGUACACCGCUUUCGCCUGUGACGAAGCGUGAGUGACGGUAAUGGGUAAAGAAGCACCGGCUAACUACGUG
This 468-nucleotide ribosomal RNA is filed under the name uncultured bacterium. Its description in RNAcentral is "partial 16S ribosomal RNA". It matches the Rfam family "Bacterial small subunit ribosomal RNA", at positions 28 to 507 of the family's 1533-position model. The record is from RNAcentral.